Molecule: RNA transcript, 2022 nt
Organism: Sapajus apella (tufted capuchin)
Lineage: Eukaryota; Metazoa; Chordata; Mammalia; Primates; Cebidae
Exons: 4
Source: RefSeq, a predicted model, not a curated record
AUGGCCUGGAGCACACUCAGGAUGCAGGUGGUGCUGAUGGGAAGGCCCCUUAUCACCCUGCACAUACUAGGAAAUUCCCGGGCAGAGGAGCUCCACGGUCGCCAGCGCAGCUGUUUCGGCCAGCGCGGCUGUGCCGGCCGGCGCCGCUGCUCUGCCCCGCGCGGCUGCUUUGUCGGCGCCCCGGAGCCGCGGUUCUCCGUACAAAAUACACCGGUCCGGGUGCCCUUUUGGCUGGCGAUUGGAGCCACGGGAAGUCGCCCAUAUGCUGGUUCAAAAAGGGGACAGAGCAGAGAACCAGGACAUGGAAAGAGGCUAUCUCUAUCUUUACGCCUGGUGGCGCUUUCAACACUAAGCUCUUAGAUUCUGCUUGAAAUCACCUCUCAACAAACAAAACAAACUUGGAAAACUUACUGCACUCAUUCUGCUAAAGAAAUAGGCAUCAUAGCUGGGGAAACAGGGAUUCACAGAACACAGGCUGUUCCCUGCACAUUUUUCCUCCUCAGAUAUCAGUUCAUCUGUCAACCAACUGAUGUGAGAGUUGAGGCCAUGUGUUCCCUAUUAUUCCUGGGCACUCUCCUCAGAGGAAGAAAGGGUCAGGAAGUCCUGUUAGGGGAUGCCUGCUAACAGGCUAAUCUCCCUAAGCUGUGAGAGCUCUAGUCAUCAGGUGCAGACUUUUCAGGAGAGAGAAAUGAGGCAGGCAUUCUGAACCUGAAGCUUCAUCACAUUUUGUUCAUCUCAAGAUAGUUUUGACAGGCUGUUUUGGAACAUGUCUGGAAGGUGAACUCUGAAGAAGAGCAUGUACUUUGAUGUGACUCAGAUGAGGUCUUUCAUGGGGAUCAGGAAUUCAAUGCCCAGUAUCUGAGCUGGUGUCUUUGAGGUCAGUAGGUUGCCUCUUUGUAUCAAGUCCAUUGUUACCAGGCAGUAGGCUGGAGAUUCUGAAUGGCUUCCAGAACCCCUCUCUGAUUCUCUUUGGGAGAUGGGGUCUGAAAAAGACAAAGUCAGUAUUUUUGGGAAAUUCUAGAAAGUCUGGUUGGAAACCUGGGAAGACCUCUUGCCUAAUGCCUAAAUGCCCAAUUUUCAGCGCUAGCCAUAUAGAUGCCUGGUAGGCAUAGAGCUGGGUUUGCGUUUAUAUCAGCACAAUGUAUGUCAGAGUUGAAGAACAGCCAGGACAAAGUGUCUUGGUCACAGGCUGGGGAACAUCUUAAAAGCAAACUUCUAGCCUGCUGAUUUUCAUCUUGGCAGUGAGUGUUGGGUCCUGGCCAAAGUGCUUGAAUGCAGCAUGAGUCCAAUCCAUAAAUACACCUUCGAAUGGAGAAAUGUUUGUAUCUUUUCAGUUUGAUGCAAUCAAGGUGCAAUUACCAUGCUAUUGGUUUGUUUACUUUUUAUUAUUUAAUAUCAAAUCUAAGACACAAUACAUUAAAUGCUUAUUGAUAUGUGUAUUUGUUCUUCACUAGCCUCAUAGUAUCUGCCUAAUUUUAAUCCUUCUUCCAUUUUGUAGGUUUCAACUUAUUUUAUUGUAGAAUAUUAAAUCUAAUACAGACAUUGUCAUUUUUACAUAUAAUUUUCUUUUAUUUAAAAUAUUUUCUAUUGGCAUUUUACCUUAAAUUUUGGACUAUUUUAUCAUAUAAAUAGCUUCAUUUCUAUUUAGAAGAUAAAAGUAUUUGGGUUUCUUGUCUUGUAAUUUUUAUAUUACUUAGUAAUGAGAUAACCAUUAAUGUUUUCAGGUAUUUUAAAUUUUAGAUAAUGACUCAUUAUAUCCAUGUGAAGUUUGUUUUUGCUGCAUAUGUGGGUUGGAGAGCUGUUUUCACUUCUGCUGCAUCUUUACUCUGAUCUCCCCAGAACUCAUAGCUCUUGUAGUUGGGAAAGAGCAGGUCACCAUUCCAAUAAAUAGGACAAAUUCCAUAAUAACACACUACAAUUGAGUUUGAAAGCAGGACAUGUCUUCAACGCAUAAACGACAUGAGCCUACAUAUGUACAACAAAGCAAUGUAUAAGUUACAGUUUGGAUGGAAAAGAAAAGCA